CUGCAGCCAAGCAGGCUGACUAGCUUCCUUUUCCAUCAGAGCCUGGUAUGCAAACGCCACAAACGGCAGCUUCUCUUAGAUGUAUACAACCUGUUGCAUGGAUGAGCUACCAUAAGACACUUGGACCAGUU
Arvicanthis niloticus (Nile rat) is the source of this 131-nucleotide non-coding RNA. NCBI's taxonomy places the organism in Eukaryota, Metazoa, Chordata, Mammalia, Rodentia, Muridae. The record is from RefSeq and is a predicted model, not a curated record.